Molecule: ribosomal RNA, 526 nt
Filed under: Prorops nasuta
Lineage: Eukaryota; Metazoa; Arthropoda; Insecta; Hymenoptera; Bethylidae
Description: eukaryotic LSU rRNA
Source: RNAcentral
GAUGGGGAGAUUCACGUCAGCGACGCUGGCCUCGCGAUGGCGCGUGAUGUCUUGGGGACUUCGGUAACCGGGUCACACCGUCGUCGUGUAAGUCGGCGAUGUCGGCGUGCACUUCUCCCCUGGUAGGACGUCGCGACCCGUUGGGUGCCGGCUUAAGGCCCGGGUGGUAGCCUGUCUCGGUCCGCCGAGUCAGACCCCUGGUCGCCAAAUGCCGGCUGCCCGGCGGUACUCGUAUGGUAUCGGGCCGCAAAAUCUAACUGCGUCGGACCCGUCGCAAGCGCGAUCAGUGUAUCACGGAGGUCGGACCAAGUGCCGUUCCCGUGCCUGGUCAGCUGUUGGCUGACGGUGCUCUCCGACCGGCCAUUAGCGGAUACCGGUCGGCGACGCUACUGCUUUGGGUAAUCUCAGGACCCGUCUUGAAACACGGACCAAGGAGUCUAACAUGUGCGCGAGUCAUUGGGACCGCAUGCCUAAAGGCGUAAUGAAAGUGAAGGUAGGCCUUAGCGUCGACCGAGGGAGGAUGGGU